UACGUAGGGUGCAAGCGUUAAUCGGAAUUACUGGGCGUAAAGCGUGCGCAGGCGGCUUUGCAAGACAGAUGUGAAAUCCCCGGGCUUAACCUGGGAACUGCAUUUGUGACUGCAUGGCUAGAGUGCGGAAGAGGGGGAUGGAAUUCCGCGUGUAGCAGUGAAAUGCGUAGAUAUGCGGAGGAACACCGAUGGCGAAGGCAAUCCCCUGGGCCUGCACUGACGCUCAUGCACGAAAGCGUGGGGAGCAAACAGG
Molecule: ribosomal RNA, 253 nt
Filed under: uncultured bacterium
Lineage: Bacteria
Description: partial 16S ribosomal RNA
Rfam family: Bacterial small subunit ribosomal RNA
Source: RNAcentral